GAGUACAAAAUAAAUCUUUUGUUUUCAGGCAUGAAAGAUGGCCAGAAGAUAACAUUCCAUGGUGAAGGAGACCAAGAACCAGGACUGGAGCCAGGAGAUAUUAUCAUUGUAUUAGAUCAGAAGGACCAUGCUGUUUUUACUCGACGAGGAGAAGACCUUUUCAUGUGUAUGGACAUACAACUAGUUGAAGCAUUGUGUGGCUUCCAAAAGCCAAUCUCUACCCUUGACAACCGAACCAUAGUCAUCACCUCUCAUCCAGGUCAGAUUGUCAAGCAUGGAGAUAUCAAGUGUGUGCUAAAUGAGGGCAUGCCAAUUUAUCGUAGACCAUAUGAAAAGGGUCGCCUAAUCAUCGAAUUUAAGGUGAACUUUCCUGAGAAUGGCUUUCUCUCUCCUGAUAAACUCUCUUUGCUGGAAAAACUCCUACCCGAGAGAAAGGAAGUGGAAAAGACUGAUGGAAUGCAUCAAGUAGAACUUGUGGACUUUGAUCCAGUCAGGCGCAAUUAUAAUGGAGAAGCAUAUGAGGAAGAUGAACAUCAUCCCAGAGGGGGUGUUCAGUGUCAAACCUCUUAAUGGGCCAGUGAAUUACACUCACUGCUGGCAGUCUAUGUGCAGUAGUGAAUGAGUGAAGGACUGUAAUCAUAAUAUGCUCACUACUUGCUAUUGUUUUUGUUUUAAUAUUCUACUAUAGUAGUGUUUUAAAAGUUAAAUGAAGAAUAAACGCAAAUAUAAAAGCUCUGACUUUGCCCUGUAUGUAUGAUGACUUCAGUGUGCAAGAUAAAGUUUAAUACCUGUAAAAACUACUUCAAAAGAAAUUCCCUAGCAUUUUUUAGGCCAACCCUUGUAAUUGAUUUCAACUGUGUACACGGACAAGCUUAGACUGAAAUGCUAGGUAUAUGUAUUGGCUUCAGUGUGUGACCCUUCGUUGUUAAGCUAUAAAAUUAAAACUGUAUUUAACUGGCAAUCCAAAAAAACGUAAUUUGUAGAGAAGUAUUGGUCUGUGUAGUUACUUGUAUUAAGUAGGAUUCAUUGUGAUGCCUCUGCAUUAUUCCAUUGCCUCAACUGUUAACUUGAAAUUGGCAUAAUAUAUAAUUUAGCCUGUGGUAUCAGUGAUAGAAAUGAUGCCUUUCUAAAGAAGGGGCUUAUCAUAAUAUGCUGCUUCUUGAGGGCUUGCACUUCUAGAAUUAUGUUCCCUUCUGCUGCACCAUCCAAUCCUGGUUAUUUUUUCCCUUCUCUUUGGACCAUAAUAAGCCUCUGAGUAGUGACUUCCAGAGCUUGGGUAUCUUAGAAAUUUAAAGUGAAGAGACCUUCACAUGAAGUAAUUUGCAUGCAUAAUAUAGGAAGGUGUUCCUUAGGUAUGUUACAGGCUUACUUUUAACCAUUUGACUUAUGCUCCAGCGUAACUGUAAUUUAAUGUUGGUAGGAUAGCAAACUAUGAAUAGCUUUAAUUGUAUGUUUAAAAGUCUCAUCAUAUGUUUAUGCUUAAAUCUGGAUAUCAGAAUUUAAGCAAUUCUUGAAAUGUAUGACUGUCUCCUUAAUAUACUGAUUACAAAGCAUU
Carlito syrichta (Philippine tarsier) is the source of this 1555-nucleotide RNA transcript. It is a transcript of the gene named dnaJ homolog subfamily A member 1-like, with no coding region annotated. The record is from RefSeq and is a predicted model, not a curated record. The transcript is spliced from 4 exons. NCBI's taxonomy places the organism in Eukaryota, Metazoa, Chordata, Mammalia, Primates, Tarsiidae.